This is a long non-coding RNA of Lycium barbarum (goji berry), 870 nucleotides long. RefSeq lists it as uncharacterized. The transcript is spliced from 6 exons. NCBI's taxonomy places the organism in Eukaryota, Viridiplantae, Streptophyta, Magnoliopsida, Solanales, Solanaceae. The record is from RefSeq and is a predicted model, not a curated record.
UUCACAACUGUUGAAAAAGUUUAUGAAUAGUUGUGUCACUUAAAAAAAUACUUUUAAAUAGAUUUUUAUUAGAAGAAACCUUACUUAAUUCUGCAGAUUUCUUCUCCUCCUUACGCUUUUCUCUUUCCAACUUUGACAAAGGAAAACUCUCUCUUCUUUGGUGAAGAACCUUCGUAGAAUCGUUGCUCGUUGGAUCAAUUAAUUCUAUAACUCAGGUUCCGACGGCGUAUAGUUGCGAUUAUAAUACUGUAUUGCGGUGAAUCUUGGCUGGAAUUCAAGGUGAAUAUUGAAGAUAUCACGGUUUUAGCGGAGUAAGAUUUACGAGCUCGGAAGAAUAAGCAUUAAGUUGAGUAGUAGAAGAUCAAUCAGGUACAGAUCGACAGAUUGAUAGGCCUCCCCAGUAGACAGGAUCUGACAUCAGCUGAUUGGUAGACAGGGAGGUGAACCAGACUCGUAGGAGCUACCAGCAGACUCGAGAGCAUUCCAUUGUUCCGGAGGUGCACAGGGAGACAGGCUCGAUCCAUAGCGGUAUUCUCAGAGACUACAUAAAGAGCUCCAUUUCAUUCGGAGCCAUAACUUUUGGGUACUUAUUCUUUUGUGUAUAUAAUUAUGGGCAUAGCGGGGUCCUGUCCCGCUUAUGUGAUAUGUUAUACUCUUCUUAGAGGCUCGUAGACAUGUGAAUAUGGUUAGAUGUGUCUGGCCUUGUCGACCUAUAUUUUGUAUAUUAUUUUGAUAGCCUUGACGACUCAUGUACAUUGACGUGGUAUAGAUGCCAACCAUGAUAUUAAAGCAUUGUCGUCCAAUAGGACUAGCAUGAAUGGUGAUUAGAAAUGUAUGUUUAAUUAUGUGACUCACCUAAAUGUAAGUGAA